Molecule: ribosomal RNA, 252 nt
Filed under: uncultured prokaryote
Description: partial 16S rRNA
Rfam family: Bacterial small subunit ribosomal RNA
Source: RNAcentral
ACAGAGGUGGCUAGCGUUGUUCGGAUUCAUUGGGUGUAAAGGGUGCGUAGGCGGUUUGGAAAGUCGGAUGUGAAAUCCUAUGGCUUAACCAUAGAAUUGCAUUCGAAACUUCCAAACUCGAGUGCGAGAGAGGUGAAGGGAAUUCCCGGUGUAAGGGUGAAAUCUGUAGAGAUCGGGAGGAACACCAGUAGCGAAGGCGCUUCACUGGCUCGCAACUGACGCUGAGUGCACGAAAGCGUGGGGAGCAAACGG